UACGUAGGGUGCGAGCGUGUCCGGAAUUUAUUGGGCGUAAAGGAGCUCGUAGGCGGUCUGUCGCGUCUGCUGUGAAAACCCGAGGCUCAACCUCGGGCCUGCAGUGGGUACGGGCAGACUAGAGUGGCGGUAGGGAGAAUGGAAUUCCUGGUGUAGCGGUGAAAUGCGCAGAUAUCAGGAGGAACACCGGUGGCGAAGGCGGGUCUCUGGGCAUGUCCUGACGUGAGGAGCGAAA
This 235-nucleotide ribosomal RNA is filed under the name uncultured bacterium. Its description in RNAcentral is "partial 16S ribosomal RNA". It matches the Rfam family "Bacterial small subunit ribosomal RNA", at positions 524 to 758 of the family's 1533-position model. The record is from RNAcentral.